CUCAGAUGCGGGGGAAAUGUCUACUAGACCCCAGUCUGCUGAGUUGCCUGGUCGGAUGUCUCUAUUCAGGCUGACUUGUCACCUGCCCCUGGGAGGGCAGUGCAGCAGAUAAGCCUGGGCCAGGCCACUCUACUAGAGCCCUCGGUGUACACAGCCUCGGGGCCGCGACAUGUUCCUGUGGUGCUUGCCCACCACAUCUGCAAACUUCCCCACUGGCACGAAGUCGUUGUCCUGCAGAGGCUGCCACCAACACAAGCAGGCAGCAGUGAUGGGAAACAGAAGCCCCGUCUGAGUAACUCACUUCAGUGUCUCGCUCUCUGCACUCGUAGCAAGGAGAACAUGGAGGAAAGAGUGAGGACACAGCCUAUCAGGUACACGUUUUUAGUGAAAACAUACAAACAGUCAUUACUGAACUCCCACAGUGCUCUACCACACUGAGUAGGAAGCGUUCGCUCCAAUUUGCAGAUCUAGAAAUGGAGACCUAGAAAGAAGACAACAGAAGCCACAACCCUGGGGAUGUGGACCAGCAGUAGAGAGCUUGCCUAACAUGCAGUAGGCCCUGGGUUCCAUCCCCACUGUCUCAAGCAAGCAGAAAGGGAAGGAGAGGGAGGGCAAGAGGGCAGGAGGAAGGGGGAAGAGAGAGAGAGGAAAAAGAAAGAAGGGAGAGAGAGAGAGAGAGAGAGAGAGAGAGAGAGAGAGAGAGAACCAUAGUCCCUGCCCCUGAGUUUUGUCCAGUGAACCACGGUUUCCCCAUAAUUUGGAGUCAGCAAACUUUCUAGCAAGAUCUGGAUAGUAAAAACAGUCACAACUACUCAACCCCACCACUGCGGAAGAGCAGCCCAAGGCCAUGUGCCAACAAAUGGGAGCCCUCGUGCUCCAGUGCAACUUGAUUUAAGAAUCAGACUGCGGACCAAAUCUGGCCCAGGGACCAUGGUUCGCCCGCUCCUCUACAGUUGAUCCCAGUGCAUUAUCGCUAAUCUCUGCUACCCACACACGCAGCCAUCACGGAUUCUUUGAACUUGGCCUUGCGCAUCUUUCAAC
Molecule: long non-coding RNA, 1041 nt
Filed under: Fukomys damarensis (Damara mole-rat)
Lineage: Eukaryota; Metazoa; Chordata; Mammalia; Rodentia; Bathyergidae
Description: lncRNA (ENSFDAG00000023835.1)
Source: RNAcentral